This 253-nucleotide ribosomal RNA is filed under the name uncultured bacterium. RNAcentral's name for it is "partial 16S ribosomal RNA". It matches the Rfam family "Bacterial small subunit ribosomal RNA", at positions 524 to 776 of the family's 1533-position model. The record is from RNAcentral.
UACGUAGGGUGCGAGCGUUGUCCGGAAUUACUGGGCGUAAAGAGCUCGUAGGUGGUUUGUCGCGUUGUUCGUGAAAACCUGAGGCUUAACCUUGGGCGUGCGGGCGAUACGGGCAGACUGGAGUACUGCAGGGGAGACUGGAAUUCCUGGUGUAGCGGUGGAAUGCGCAGAUAUCAGGAGGAACACCGGUGGCGAAGGCGGGUCUCUGGGCCGAUAUUGACGCUGAGGAGCGAAAGCGUGGGGAGCGAACAGG